CGUGAAAUUGUUGAAAGGGAAGCGCUCGCUACCAGACUUGGGUUCGGCGGUUCAACCGGGGCCACGCCCCGGGGCACUCCGCCGGCCCAGGCCAGCAUCAGCUUUCCGUCGGGGGCAAAGGCGUCGGGAAUGUGGCUCCCCUCCGGGGGAGUGUUAUAGCCCGGCGUGUCAUACCCUUCGGGGGGCUGAGGUACGCGCUUCUGCAAGGAUG
This 211-nucleotide ribosomal RNA is filed under the name Gibellulopsis nigrescens. RNAcentral describes it as "partial large subunit ribosomal RNA". Lineage: Eukaryota; Fungi; Ascomycota; Sordariomycetes; Glomerellales; Plectosphaerellaceae. The record is from RNAcentral.